UUAACUCAAAAUUAUAUGGAGUUGGACAGCCUCCCUUCGUUUGCUGCUAGGGAAGCUGGUCAAACGCCAUACAAAUUUGAGUUA
Molecule: microRNA precursor, 84 nt
Filed under: Bombyx mori (domestic silkworm)
Lineage: Eukaryota; Metazoa; Arthropoda; Insecta; Lepidoptera; Bombycidae
Description: mir-2807 microRNA precursor family
Rfam family: mir-2807 microRNA precursor family
Source: Rfam by way of RNAcentral